GGAAGAACUUCACCCUGAGUCAUUAAGUUAAUGGCUUGGCUGUCACAUUGUGAUUUAUCGGUGAAAUUGCUCUUUUGAGUGCAGAGCAUAUAAAAGGAUAGUCAGUUUAUAAUCCAUGCUGUUGCAUAGUGGCAAUGGUCACGGAUAAGACGGACACUUCAGGAAGCAAGAUUACCACACAGCACGUCCUGCGGGUCAGGCGAAAUAUGGAGAAGGUAACACGCUUGCUUCCUACUGAAAUGUGUGUCUUGUGUCUAGAUUUCCUUCAGUUACCAAGGUCUGACCAUUUUAAUUCCUCGGAUGUAAUAGAAAAGGUCUGCCUGGAACACAAGUCAGAUUUGUUAAAAUCACUUCUAAAGGGUACCUUUAAGUCAGGUGGCAUUUGGAUAUAUAAAUAAUUGCUUGAACAUGCAUUUGCCAAAUAGGUUUAUUAUUAUUGCCAUAUUAAGAGCGAGUCUUCCUUUUGUGGAGAGGGAUAUAAUAGUCUCAUUCAAGCCCAAUUCUAUUGAACACAACAUUUUUUUUAACUGGCUCCUCUUACUUGGAUUCCUUGUUUAAGUGUGCUAAGUAGCCUUCUAAGAUGGUCCCCAACUAUUCCCAAGUCCUGGUAUGCGGGUCCUUAUGUAACCCUGUCUUCCUGAGUGUGAGCUUGGCUUAGUGACUGGCUUCUAACAAACAGAAUAUGGCAAUUGUCGUGGGAUAUCACUUCUGAGAGUAGAUUAUAAAGACUGACUUCCAUCUAGCUGCUGCUCUCUGGCUAUCUCACUGCUGCCAUGUUGUGAGCAGCAUAAUGGAGAGGCCCUGUGGGGUAAGGGGGUGAAGGUGGGCAGCCUCUGGCCAACAGCCCACAAGUCAUAAGAGGCCCUGAGUCAAACAUGCAAUGUGCAAG
RNAcentral lists this long non-coding RNA (889 nucleotides) under Sus scrofa (pig). Its description in RNAcentral is "lncRNA (ENSSSCG00060060077.1)". Lineage: Eukaryota; Metazoa; Chordata; Mammalia; Artiodactyla; Suidae. The record is from RNAcentral.